This 453-nucleotide ribosomal RNA is filed under the name uncultured bacterium. Its description in RNAcentral is "partial 16S ribosomal RNA". It matches the Rfam family "Bacterial small subunit ribosomal RNA", at positions 28 to 506 of the family's 1533-position model. The record is from RNAcentral.
GAUGAACGCUGACAGAAUGCUUAACACAUGCAAGUCAACUUGAACUUCGGUUUGGGUGGCGGACGGGUGAGUAACGCGUACAGAACUUGCCUCACAGAUAGGGACAACAUUUGGAAACGAAUGCUAAUACCUGAUAUUAUGAUUUUAGGGCAUCCUAGGAUUAUGAAAGCUAUAUGCGCUGUGAGAGAGCUUUGCGUCCCAUUAGCUAGUUGGAGAGGUAACGGCUCACCAAGGCGAUGAUGGGUAGCCGGCCUGAGAGGGUGAUCGGCCACAAGGGGACUGAGACACGGCCCUUACUCCUACGCGAGGCAGCAGUAGGGAAUAUUGGACAAUGGACGAAGAGGCUGUUCCAGCAAUUCUGUGUGCACGAUGAAGUUUUUCGGAAUGUAAAGUGCUUUCAGUUGGGAAGAAAAAAAUGACGGUACCAACAGAAGAAGCGACGGCUAAAUACGU